GAUGAACGCUGGCGGCGUGCCUAAUACAUGCAAGUCGAGCGAACAGACGAGGAUCUUGCUCCUCUGACGUUAGCGGCGGACGGGUGAGUAACACGUGGAUAACCUACCUAUAAGACUGGGAUAACUUCGGGAAACCGGAUCUAAUACCGGAUAAUAUAUUGAACCGCAUGGUUCAAUAGUGAAAGACGGUUUUGCUGUCACUUAUAGAUGGAUCCGCGCCGCAUUAGCUAGUUGGUAAGGUAACGGCUUACCAAGGCAACGAUGCGUAGCCGACCUGAGAGGGUGAUCGGCCACACUGGAACUGAGACACGGUCCAGACUCCUACGGGAGGCAGCAGUAGGGAAUCUUCCGCAAUGGGCGAAAGCCUGACGGAGCAACGCCGCGUGAGUGAUGAAGGUCUUCGGAUUGUAAAACUCUGUUAUUAGGGAAGAACAAAUGUGUAAGUAAAUAUGCACGUCUUGACGGUACCGAAUGAGAAAGCCACGGCUAACUACGUG
Molecule: ribosomal RNA, 497 nt
Filed under: uncultured bacterium
Lineage: Bacteria
Description: partial 16S ribosomal RNA
Rfam family: Bacterial small subunit ribosomal RNA
Source: RNAcentral